RNAcentral lists this ribosomal RNA (381 nucleotides) under uncultured marine Chaetocerotaceae. Its description in RNAcentral is "SSU rRNA". It matches the Rfam family "Eukaryotic small subunit ribosomal RNA", at positions 587 to 972 of the family's 1831-position model. Lineage: Eukaryota; Bacillariophyta; Thalassiosirophyceae; Chaetocerotales; Chaetocerotaceae. The record is from RNAcentral.
AGCUCCAAUAGCGUAUAUUAAAGUUGCUGCAGUUAAAAAGCUCGUAGUUGCAUUUCCGAGGCAAGGGAUUAGUCCGACCUUUGGUGGGUAUUUAAUCCUCUUGCCUCGUCCUUGAGUGGUGCUUCUUGGUAUUAAGUUAUCGAGGAGAUAGCCGCUCAUCGUUUACUGUGAGAAAAUUAGAGUGUUCAAAGCAGGCUUAUGCCGUUGAAUAUAUUAGCAUGGAAUAAUAAGAUAGGACCUCGGUACUAUUUUGUUGUUUUGAGAACCAAGGUAAUGAUGAAUAGGGACAGUUGGGGGUAUUCGUAUUCAGUUGUCAGAGGUGAAAUUCUUAGAUUUACGGAAGACGAACUACUGCGAAAGCAUUUACCAAGGAUGUUGUCA